AAAGGAAUAGACGGGGACCCGCACAAGCAGCGGAGCAUGUGGUUUAAUUCGAAGCAACGCGAAGAACCUUACCAGAGCUUGACAUCCCUCUGACCGGUCGGUAAUGCGACCUUCCCUUCGGGGCAGAGGUGACAGGUGGUGCAUGGUUGUCGUCAGCUCGUGUCGUGAGAUGUUGGGUUAAGUCCCGCAACGAGCGCAACCCUUGUCAUUAGUUGCCAUCAUUAAGUUGGGCACUCUAGUGAGACCGCCGGGGAUAACUCGGAGGAAGGUGGGGACGACGUCAAAUCAUCAUGCCCCUUAUGUUCUGGGCUACACACGUGCUACAAUGGUCGGUACAGAGAGAAGCAAAAUCGUGAGGUGGAGCAAAACUCUAAAACCGGCCCCAGUUCGGAUUGUAGGCUGCAACUCGCCUACAUGAAGUCGGAGUUGCUAGUAAUCGCGAAUCAGAAUGUCGCGGUGAAUGCGUUCCCGGGUCUUGUACACACCGCCCGU
Molecule: ribosomal RNA, 492 nt
Filed under: uncultured bacterium
Lineage: Bacteria
Description: bacterial SSU rRNA
Rfam family: Bacterial small subunit ribosomal RNA
Source: RNAcentral